RNAcentral lists this ribosomal RNA (204 nucleotides) under uncultured bacterium. RNAcentral's name for it is "partial 16S ribosomal RNA". It matches the Rfam family "Bacterial small subunit ribosomal RNA", at positions 573 to 776 of the family's 1533-position model. The record is from RNAcentral.
AGGUGGGCAGAUAAGUCAGUGGUGAAGUCUCCGAGCUUAACCCGGAAACUGCCGUUGAUACUAUUUGUCUUGAAUAUUGUGGAGGUGAGCGGAAUAUGUCAUGUAGCGGUGAAAUGCUUAGAUAUGACAUAGAACACCAAUUGCGAAGGCAGCUUACUACACAAUCAUUGACGCUGAGGCACGAAAGCGUGGGGAUCAAACAGG